Molecule: ribosomal RNA, 429 nt
Filed under: Pseudomonadota bacterium
Lineage: Bacteria; Pseudomonadati; Pseudomonadota
Description: Proteobacteria bacterium partial 16S ribosomal RNA
Rfam family: Bacterial small subunit ribosomal RNA
Source: RNAcentral
UGGGGAAUAUUGGACAAUGGGCGAAAGCCUGAUCCAGCCAUGCCGCGUGUGUGAAGAAGGUCUUCGGAUUGUAAAGCACUUUAAGUUGGGAGGAAGGGCAGUAAGCGAAUACCUUGCUGUUUUGACGUUACCGACAGAAUAAGCACCGGCUAACUCUGUGCCAGCAGCCGCGGUAAUACAGAGGGUGCAAGCGUUAAUCGGAAUUACUGGGCGUAAAGCGCGCGUAGGUGGUUCGUUAAGUUGAAUGUGAAAGCCCCGGGCUCAACCUGGGAACUGCAUCCAAAACGGGCGAGCUAGAGUAGGGCAGAGGGUGGUGGAAUUUCCUGUGUAGCAGUGAAAUGCGUAGAUAUAGGAAGGAACACCAGUGGCGAAGGCGACCACCUGGGCUCAUACUGACACUGAGGUGCGAAAGAGUGGGGAGCAAACAGG